RNAcentral lists this small nuclear RNA (135 nucleotides) under Dasypus novemcinctus (nine-banded armadillo). Its description in RNAcentral is "U1 spliceosomal RNA (ENSDNOG00000039623.1)". It matches the Rfam family "U1 spliceosomal RNA". From Rfam's summary of the family: U1 is a small nuclear RNA (snRNA) component of the spliceosome (involved in pre-mRNA splicing). Its 5' end forms complementary base pairs with the 5' splice junction, thus defining the 5' donor site of an intron. There are significant differences in sequence and secondary structure between metazoan and yeast U1 snRNAs, the latter being much longer (568 nucleotides as compared to 164 nucleotides in human). Lineage: Eukaryota; Metazoa; Chordata; Mammalia; Cingulata; Dasypodidae. The record is from RNAcentral.
AUACUUACCUGGCAGGGGAGAUACCAUGAUCAUGCAGGUGGUUUUCCCAGGGCAAGGCUGAUCCAUUGCACAGGGGAUCUGCUGAUCCCUGUGAUUUCCCCACAUGGAGGAAAGUUGACUACAUAAGUUGCGUCC